Cyprinus carpio carpio is the source of this 1076-nucleotide long non-coding RNA. The record is from Ensembl. Lineage: Eukaryota; Metazoa; Chordata; Actinopteri; Cypriniformes; Cyprinidae.
CGUCUAUCAAACCAGACAUCCAUGAGUAAAAACAUAAACACCGGAGAGCUGCUUUAUAGUAAAAAUUAAAAUUCUAAUUCUAAUUGAAAGCAGCACUGACACUAUUUUUCAUGUUUAAUACUGUUGUAAUAUCUAUUGUAUAAAGUGCUAUAUAAAUAAACAAACAUCAUGUGGCUCUCAGGGGUGCUGCUAUGGUUUCUGGGCCCCCUGAACAUCAUAUUGACUUGAACCCCCUCAAACUCCAGGGUGGGGGACCUCUCAUCAGGGCCCUUGGAGUCAUGCUAACCUUCCCUCCCGUUACGGCGCCCCUGGUGACUUUACUUGGCUGGAGUGCCAAAUUGCCAAGGUUGUGCUAAGAUAUCCACAUUGCUAAGAUCAGAUGCUAUCUUGCAGUACCUGCUGUUUUCUCACUGCAAAGGCUGUGUGCAGGUUGUGGUUCAGAUGUUUUUCUGGGUCAGUUCUGGUCCCAUUGGUAAGAUGGGCCCCAUCUUGUCCUCAUGAGAUCCCCUCCCUGCCUGCCCCAGGUGCCCCUGGCAUGGUCUUCACUCAGUUUUGUCCGUUAAGUACCACCUCAAAUAUUGAUGAGUCUGUGUAGGUCAGGAGGUGAUGCAUGCAUGAAGUUACUGUUGACCAGUGAGGUUUAACUAACCCCCUGAAAGUGCUUAUCCACUGUACAGAAUGUUAUCCUUCAGAAGCCUCGGAGGAUAAUGUGCUGGAGGUCUCUAUAAAGAUGAUGUUUUAACAGUAGCCAUGCCCUACAUUGAUCAGAUGAGAUCGUUUUUGUUGUUUCUUGUUGUUGUUGAAAUAGGACCAGUUUGAAUUGUUGCAGUUUAGAAUUUGGGUAUAUCAAAAUUUAUAUAUCAUGGUUUACAUAGCAAUGAGUAUUUAUUUAAAAUCUUCUUUAUAAUUUUUUUUUUUUUUACAUACACUUGAAAUUGUUCACGACAGUAAACAGACUCUGAACUUAGGCAUUGGAUAAGAUAUUAUCAGCCUUUAAUGAUGGUGUGUAAACAUGCCUGUUAGGUUGGUGCACUUUUUAAUAUAGUGAGGUUUUGCAAAUUAUAUCUUCAAAGAAC